UGCCAGCCGCCGCGGUAAGACAGAGGGUGCAAACGUUGUUCGGAAUUACUGGGCGUAAAGCGAGUGUAGGCGGUCUGCUAAGUCGGGUGUGAAAGCCCCGGGCUCAACCCGGGAAGUGCACUCGAAACUGGCAGGCUAGAGUACUGGAGAGGUUGGUGGAAUUCUCGGUGUAGAGGUGAAAUUCGUAGAUAUCGAGAGGAACACCGGUGGCGAAGGCGGCCAACUGGACAGAUACUGACGCUGAGACUCGAAAGCGUGGGGAGCAAACAGGAUUAGAUA
Molecule: ribosomal RNA, 279 nt
Filed under: uncultured bacterium
Lineage: Bacteria
Description: partial 16S ribosomal RNA
Rfam family: Bacterial small subunit ribosomal RNA
Source: RNAcentral